This 860-nucleotide long non-coding RNA is filed under the name Numida meleagris (helmeted guineafowl). RNAcentral describes it as "lncRNA (ENSNMEG00000000772.1)". Lineage: Eukaryota; Metazoa; Chordata; Aves; Galliformes; Numididae. The record is from RNAcentral.
CAAACCGCAGCUUUAAUCAGAGCCUGCCUGAUGAAACCUGUUUACACGCUUGCCAUUGUUCAUGAGCCACGUUCAUUAGGCAAGCAGCGUUAAUGACGAUCCCAAGGCAGGAACUUUAAUCAGAGGGGAGGGCGAGGGACAGCCUUCCCUGGUGCUGUUCCAAUGAGUGCUCCCAGCAGCCCCCAGCCCCCAGCAGCACGGAACACUGCCAAGUGUGGAGCAUAACUCGUUCAAGAAGGGGGAAAUGAGAGGCAAAGUAAUAAUCAAAAUGCUCCAAAGGAGAAGACCAGAGGCUUUCAUCAAGGAUGAGAAUAAAGCUGCGCCCUGGAAACUUGGAAGGCAGCAAACCUAAAGCUGGCAAAACAUGCCUUCACCAGUCAGACAGCUCCUUUGUGCUGUGCUGGUUUUUUACAUGGGCAGAUAGUGAUGGACAAGGGGGAAUGGCUUUAAACUAGAAGACGGGAGAUUCGGGUCAGGUAUUAGGAGGAAAUCCUUUACUCGGAUGCAGUGAGGAGCUGCCCACAGCUGUGGGUGCUCCAUUGCUGGAGGUGCCCAAGGCCACGGACAGGGCUCUGGGUGACCUGCUCACCCCCUCCAUGGCAGCAGGUUGGAACUGGGUGUGCUUUGGGGUCCCUUGCAACCCAGCCAUUCUAUGGUUCUACGCUACUGUGAUUCUACGAUUCCAUGUUUCUGUGAAUAAACAGGCUCCUGGGGUUGCACGGUGGUGGUGGGCUGAGCCCAGAGCUGCACGCGUUGGAGGUCCCAGGGUCCCACCAGGGCUCAGCCCGCGGUGUCAAACGCUUCCCUCUAAUAAGCAAGUCUGGGAUUGGCAUCACGUAGAGGCAGCACCCUCAUCGCAC